GGGCUACACACGUGCUACAAUGGUUGGUACAACGAGUUGCGAGUCGGUGACGGGCGAGCUAAUCUCUUAAAGCCAAUCUCAGUUCGGAUUGUAGGCUGCAACUCGCCUACAUGAAGUCGGAAUCGCUAGUAAUCGCGGAUCAGCACGCCGCGGUGAAUACGUUCCCGGGCCUU
This 173-nucleotide ribosomal RNA is filed under the name uncultured Streptococcus sp. Its description in RNAcentral is "partial 16S ribosomal RNA". It matches the Rfam family "Bacterial small subunit ribosomal RNA", at positions 1211 to 1382 of the family's 1533-position model. The record is from RNAcentral. Lineage: Bacteria; Bacillati; Bacillota; Bacilli; Lactobacillales; Streptococcaceae.